Alligator mississippiensis (American alligator) is the source of this 89-nucleotide non-coding RNA. NCBI's taxonomy places the organism in Eukaryota, Metazoa, Chordata, Crocodylia, Alligatoridae. The record is from Rfam.
AUAAAGGCUUUUUUAUGUUGAAUUAUGCACCUGCCUCUUGUGGAAGUGGGUGAUGAAUAAAGCCACUUAUAUUUUAAAUAGCGAAAAAU